GCCGAAGUGGCGGAAUGGCAGACGCGGCGGACUUAAAAUCCGCUGUCCGCAAGGGCAUGUGAGUUCGAAUCUCACCUUCGGCACCA
This 86-nucleotide transfer RNA is filed under the name Chloroflexota bacterium. RNAcentral's name for it is "Chloroflexi bacterium (soil metagenome) tRNA-Leu". It matches the Rfam family "tRNA". From Rfam's summary of the family: Transfer RNA (tRNA) molecules are approximately 80 nucleotides in length. Their secondary structure includes four short double-helical elements and three loops (D, anti-codon, and T loops). RNAcentral also lists the same sequence under 1 other name. Lineage: Bacteria; Bacillati; Chloroflexota. The record is from RNAcentral.